GACGUAGGGCGCGAGCGUUGUCCGGAUUUAUUGGGCGUAAAGAGCUCGUAGGCGGUUCGUCGCGUCGGCUGUGAAAACCUGAGGCUCAACCUCAGGCCUGCAGUCGAUACGGGCGGACUUGAGUACUGCAGGGGAGACUGGAAUUCCUGGUGUAGCGGUGAAAUGCGCAGAUAUCAGGAGGAACACCGGUGGCGAAGGCGGGUCUCUGGGCAGUAACUGACGCUGAGGAGCGAAAGCGUGGGGAGCGAACAGG
Molecule: ribosomal RNA, 253 nt
Filed under: uncultured bacterium
Lineage: Bacteria
Description: partial 16S ribosomal RNA
Rfam family: Bacterial small subunit ribosomal RNA
Source: RNAcentral